GAUGAACGCUGGCGGCGUGCCUAAUACAUGCAAGUCGAGCGAACAGACGAGGAGCUUGCUCCUCUGACGUUAGCGGCGGACGGGUGAGUAACACGUGGAUAACCUACCUAUAAGACUUGGAUAACUUCGGGAAACCGGAGCUAAUACCGGAUAACAUGUUGAACCGCAUGGUUCAACAGUGAAAGACGGUCUUGCUGUCACUUAUAGAUGGAUCCGCGCCGCAUUAGCUAGUUGGUAAGGUAACGGCUUACCAAGGCAACGAUGCGUAGCCGACCUGAGAGGGUGAUCGGCCACACGGGAACUGAGACACGGGCCAGAAGCCUACGGGAGGCAGCAGUAGGGAAGCUUCCGCAAUGGGCGAAAGCCUGACGGAGCAACGCCGAGUGAGUGAAGAAGGUCUUCGGAUCGUAAAACUCUGUUAUUAGGGAAGAACAAAUGUGUAAGUAAAUAUGCACGUCUUGACGGUACCUAAACAGAAAGCCACGGCUAACUACGU
RNAcentral lists this ribosomal RNA (496 nucleotides) under uncultured bacterium. Its description in RNAcentral is "partial 16S ribosomal RNA". It matches the Rfam family "Bacterial small subunit ribosomal RNA", at positions 28 to 506 of the family's 1533-position model. The record is from RNAcentral.